CCCUCUCCUAUCAGUAAUUUUGGAGUUUUGUCAUCCUUCUUUUCCAGCUGCUUCCCAGAGCUGCCAUCUAGGGUGGCUCCAUCACUCAUCUGCAGAUUCCUUGUCGAUUCCAGCAGACUCCAGCAGUCCCUUCAGCUCCAUGUGUCAUGUUGCUAGCCAACAUCCUUAUUGGAUUUGACCUUUCAGCUGAAGCUACCGACAAAGGUUUCCAUCUAAUGGUGAUUUUGGUGGCAGUUGCUGUGACAAGCCCAUCCAUCUACAGCCUUCUACCACUUGCAUCUUCCCAAUAACUGAAUACCCACUUCAUUAUUACGACCUGCACUGAGCAACAGAUUUUUAUGAGUUAACACCUGUGUAGCCCUCAGAGAAAGCCUGGACUUCUCUACUUCACUGUAAUAUAUUGGCUGCUGUCCUGCACUUUAUGGAGCAAAAUACCAGUGUUCAGUAUAACAAAUUCCCCACCAAAAUAAAUUAGUUUAGUGAUCAUCA
Molecule: long non-coding RNA, 489 nt
Filed under: Parus major (Great Tit)
Lineage: Eukaryota; Metazoa; Chordata; Aves; Passeriformes; Paridae
Description: lncRNA (ENSPMJG00000008601.1)
Source: RNAcentral